CCUAUGGGGGGCACCAACCAGCUCGACUACAUCACGCGCUUUGUGCGCGAGCUGAAUGUGGGCAGCGUCAAUGUGCGCGAAGUACCCGGCUACCGGCUGGAGCUCACGCCUUUUGGCGGCAUCAAGGACUCUGGCCUGGGCUACAAGGAAGGUGUGCUGGAGGCGAUGAAGAGCUUCUGCAACACCAAGACCUACUCCCUGCCCUGGUGAUCGAAAGCCAACCAUGAGCCUCAGCAUUCCGGACAUCGUCCAUCUCUUGGAAACCAAGGGCCAUGCGCAGUACGACGGCGAACCCGUCACGCAGCUGGAGCACGCCCUGCAGUCCGCGCAUUGCGCGGAGCAGGCGGGCUCCGGCAGCGCACUGAUCGCGGCCGCACUCUUGCAUGACCUGGGACAUCUGCUGCCCCCCAUAGG
This 414-nucleotide ribosomal RNA is filed under the name uncultured archaeon. RNAcentral describes it as "partial 16S ribosomal RNA". The record is from RNAcentral.